Molecule: ribosomal RNA, 122 nt
Filed under: Trentepohlia sp. TreFl163
Lineage: Eukaryota; Viridiplantae; Chlorophyta; Ulvophyceae; Trentepohliales; Trentepohliaceae
Description: partial 5.8S ribosomal RNA
Rfam family: 5.8S ribosomal RNA
About the family: 5.8S ribosomal RNA (5.8S rRNA) is a component of the large subunit of the eukaryotic ribosome. It is transcribed by RNA polymerase I as part of the 45S precursor that also contains 18S and 28S rRNA.
Source: RNAcentral
AACCCCUAACAACGGAUGUCUUGGCUCUCGCAACGAUGAAGAACGCAGCGAAAUGCGAUAUGUAGUGUGAAUUGCAGAAUUACGUGAAUCAUCGAAUCUUUGAACGCAUAUGGCACCCGAGA